UACGGAGGGUGCAAGCGUUAUCCGGAUUCACUGGGUUUAAAGGGUGCGUAGGUGGGUAAGUAAGUCAGUGGUGAAAUCUCCGGGCUUAACCCGGAAACUGCCAUUGAUACUAUUUGUCUUGAAUACUGUGGAGGUCAGCGGAAUAUGUCAUGUAGCGGUGAAAUGCUUAGAUAUGACAUAGAACACCAAUUGCGAAGGCAGCUGGCUACGCAAAUAUUGACACUGAGGCACGAAAGCGUGGGGAUCAAACAGG
This 253-nucleotide ribosomal RNA is filed under the name uncultured bacterium. RNAcentral's name for it is "partial 16S ribosomal RNA". It matches the Rfam family "Bacterial small subunit ribosomal RNA", at positions 524 to 776 of the family's 1533-position model. The record is from RNAcentral.